GGUGAACGCUGGCGGCGUGCCUAAGACAUGCAAGUCGAGCGGGGCAGGUCUAUACCUGUUCAGCGGCGGACGGGUGAGUAACGCGUGGGCGACCUACUCGGCAGAGGCGGACAUCCUGGGGAAACCCAGGCUAAUCCGCCAUGUGGUCCUGUCCUGUGGGGCUGGAUGAAAGGGGGGAUAGCGCGCUUCCGGAUGGGCCCGCGCUCCAGCGGCUAGUUGGUGGGGUGAAGGCACACCCAGGCGACGACGGGUAGCCGGUCUGAGAGGAUGGGCGGCCACAGGGGCACAGAGGCACGGGGCCAACGCCUACGGGACGCAGCAGUUAGGCAUCGUCCGCAAUGGACGGAAGGCUGACGGAGCGACGCCGCAUGGAGGCGGGAGCGCUUCGGGGUGUAAACUCCUGAACUGGGGACGAAAGCGCUGUGUAGGGGGAGGACGGUACCCAGGUAAUAGCGCCGGCCAACUCCGUG
This 470-nucleotide ribosomal RNA is filed under the name uncultured bacterium. Its description in RNAcentral is "partial 16S ribosomal RNA". It matches the Rfam family "Bacterial small subunit ribosomal RNA", at positions 28 to 507 of the family's 1533-position model. The record is from RNAcentral.